AGCGAACGCUGGCGGCAGGCCUAACACAUGCAAGUCGAACGGCAGCACAGUAAGUGCUUGCUCUUACGGGUGGCGAGUGGCGGACGGGUGAGGUAUACAUCGGAAUCUACUUUUUCGUGGGGGAUAACGUAGGGAAACUUACGCUAAUACCGCAUAUGACCUACGGGUGAAAGCAGGGGAUCUUCGGGCCUUGUGCGAUUGAAUGAGCCGAUGUCGGAUUAGCUAGUUGGCGGGGUAAAGGCCCACCAAGGCGACGAUCCGUAGCUGGUCUGAGAGGAUGGUCAGCCACACUGGAACUGAGACACGGUCCAGACUCCUACGGGAGGCAGCAGUGGAGAAUAUUGGGCAAUGGGCGCGAGCCUGAUCCAACCAUACCGCGUGGGUGAAGAAGGCCUUCGGGUUGUAAAGCCCUUUUGUUGGGAAAGAAAAGCAGCAGGUUAAUACCCCGCUGUUCUGACGGUACCCGAAGAAUAAGCACCGGCUAACUUCGUG
Molecule: ribosomal RNA, 492 nt
Filed under: uncultured bacterium
Lineage: Bacteria
Description: partial 16S ribosomal RNA
Rfam family: Bacterial small subunit ribosomal RNA
Source: RNAcentral